Molecule: small nuclear RNA, 139 nt
Organism: Fukomys damarensis (Damara mole-rat)
Lineage: Eukaryota; Metazoa; Chordata; Mammalia; Rodentia; Bathyergidae
Gene: U4
Rfam family: U4 spliceosomal RNA
About the family: U4 small nuclear RNA (U4 snRNA) is a component of the major U2-dependent spliceosome. The structure of U4 snRNA from yeast and human has been reported.
Source: Ensembl
AGCUUUGCGCAGUGGCAGUAUCGUAGCCAAUGAGGUUUAUCCGAGGCGCGAUUAUUGCUAAUUGAAAACUUUUCCCAAUACUCAUAUAGCAUAGAAUUCAGAGUUUUAAAGUGUAUAGUUCAGUACUAUUUAUGAUAAU